CCUACGGGAGGCAGCAGUGGGGAAUAUUGGGCAAUGGGCGCAAGCCUGACCCAGCAACGCCGCGUGAAGGAAGAAGGCCCUCUGGUUGUAAACUUCUUUUUUUCGGGACGAAACACAUGACGGUUCCGAAUCAAUAAGCCACGGCUAACUACGUGCCCGCAGCCGCGGUAAUACGUAGGUGGCAAUCGUUCUCCGGAUUUACUGGGUGUAAAGGGCGUGUAGGCGGGAGAGCAAGUCAGACGUGAAAUUCCAGGGGUCAACCCUGGAAAUGCGUUUGAAACUGGUGUGCUUGAGUGAUGGAGAGGCAGGCGGAAUUCCGGGUGUAGCGGUGAAAUGCGUAGAUAUACGGAGGAACACCAGUGGCGAAGGCGGCAUGCUGGACAUUAACUGACGCUGAGGCGCGAAAGCGUGGGGAGCAAACAGGAUUAGAUACCCUUGUAGUC
This 443-nucleotide ribosomal RNA is filed under the name uncultured bacterium. RNAcentral describes it as "partial 16S ribosomal RNA". It matches the Rfam family "Bacterial small subunit ribosomal RNA", at positions 338 to 795 of the family's 1533-position model. The record is from RNAcentral.